Molecule: ribosomal RNA, 950 nt
Filed under: uncultured bacterium
Lineage: Bacteria
Description: bacterial SSU rRNA
Rfam family: Bacterial small subunit ribosomal RNA
Source: RNAcentral
AGAGUUUGAUCCUGGCUCAGGAUGAACGCUAGCGGUGCGCUUAACACAUGCAAGUCGUGCGAUCGAACCAGACGGAUUUCCCUUCGGGGACUGAAGACUGGUCACGGAGCGGCGAACUGGUGAGUAACACGUAGCUAACCUACCUUCUUGACAGGAAUAACCAUUCGAAAGGGUGGCUAAUGCCUGAUGUUGUGCGGAGUCUAUGACUUCGUUCCAAAGGCGGUCUUGCCGCCGCAAGGAGAGGGGGCUGCGCUCUAUUAGCUUGUUGGUAGGGUAAUGGCCUACCAAGGCGAUAAUGGAUAGCUGGUCUGAGAGGACGAUCAGCCACAUUGGGACUGAGAUACGGCCCAGACUCCUACGGGAGGCAGCAGUGGGGAAUAUUGGACAAUGGACGAAAGUCCGAUCCAGCGACACCGCGUGGGGGAUGAAGGCUUUCGGGUUGUAAACCCCUUUUCUGGGGGAAGAAUAAGGUUGGGAGGAAAUGCCCAUCCGAUGACGGUACCCCAGGAAUAAGCAUCGGCAAACUUCGUGCCAGCAGCCGCGGUAAGACGAGGGAUACAAGCGUUAUCCGGAAUUACUGGGCGUAAAGGGCGUCUAGGCGGUUGGAUAAGUCAUUUGUGAAAUCCCAGGGCUUAACCCUGGAAGGUCUUGUGAUACUGUCCGGCUUGGGUGUAGGAGAGGAGAGCGGAACUCACAGAGUAGCGGUGGAAUGCGUAGAUACUGUGAGGUACCCCGAUGGCGAAGGCAGCUCUCUGGCCUAUUACCGACGCUGAAGCGCGAAAGCGUGGGGAGCAAAGGGGAUUAGAUACCCCCGUAGUCCACGCCGCAAACGAUGUUCACUUGGUGUCGGGAGCCUAUAUAUCUCGGUGCCGGAGCUAACGCGUUAAGUGAACCGCCUGAGGAGUACGGCCGCAAGGCUAAAACUCAAGAGAAUUGACGGGUCCCCGCAC